GACGAACGCUGGCGGCGUGCUUAACACAUGCAAGUCGAACGGAAAGGCCCUGCUUUUGUGGUGUGCUCGAGUGGCGAACGGGUGAGUAACACGUUAGUAACCUGCCCUUGACUUUGGGAUAACUUCAGGAAACUGGGGCUAAUACCGGAUAGGAGCUCCUGCUGCAUGGUGGGGGUUGGAAAGUUUCGGCGGUUGGGGAUGGACUCGCGGCUUAUCAGCUUGUUGGUGGGGUAGUGGCUUACCAAGGCUUUGACGGGUAGCCGGCCUGAGAGGGUGACCGGCCACAUUGGGACUGAGAUACGGCCCAGACUCCUACGGGAGGCAGCAGUGGGGAAUAUUGCACAAUGGGCGGAAGCCUGAUGCAGCAACGCCGCGUGCGGGAUGACGGCCUUCGGGUUGUAAACCGCUUUCGCCUGUGACGAAGCGUGAGUGACGGUAAUGGGUAAAGAAGCACCGGCUAACUACGUG
RNAcentral lists this ribosomal RNA (468 nucleotides) under uncultured bacterium. RNAcentral's name for it is "partial 16S ribosomal RNA". It matches the Rfam family "Bacterial small subunit ribosomal RNA", at positions 28 to 507 of the family's 1533-position model. The record is from RNAcentral.